CUCUGCCUCUGGCAUGUGUUUACCGGAAGGGUCAGUGGCCACAAUCAUGUGGGAAAGUAUGUCCUGCAUCGGAGCUCCUGUGGCAAUCGCUGCCUUCUUCUCACCAAUUACUGUUUUAAGCUCCUUUCUGAUUGCAGCUGCAGCCCUGCUAGCUCUGUGAAAAAUGGUUCCAGGGAAAUUUACGGGAAUAGAAUGCAUACCCAGGGUUAUAUCAUCAAAAUUGCUAACAAGCUUAGCUAUACGCUCGUGGUCAUCUGUGUCCAAGAAAAAUCGACAGGCAAGAGAUAGAGUUAGAGUCUUCGCAAGAGGAAAGGCCUUGACUUUAUCUUUACCCUCCCAAUAAGUUUGCAUUUGCUGCUGCGUGAUGGAGUCCAUUUUAUCCAAGUACCUCACAAGCGCCUCAGGCUUCAAGAAACCUGGAGAACGUAGCAUUUUGGACUCUGCUUCACGAGAAAUCUGAACAGGGGCAGCUGCAGCAGCUUUGUACGAGCGAAAGAGCUUCUGCAUAGAAUGAGGACGAAAUGCAGUGAAAAGCUUCUGCUCAUUGGAGAAGAGAAAUUUGUGUCCAUUAGGGCCACAUAUGACGGCUGUUUCCUCUCCAAGAAUCUUUGUCUUGAAAAUAUCGGGAGAGUACUUCUUCAUCCUGUCAAAAACAAACUUUUCUGGCUUGCCAAACAAGAACUCCAGAGUUUCCCCCGCUAAUGGCCAUCCCAAGCUCCCUGGGGGCAGGUUCUUGGCAUCUCUGGAUUGGCGCUUGAAAGCAAAGAGACCAACGGCAAGUGUGAGAACCACGGGAGCUAAAGAUAAGAAAAGGAAGGUGAUCUCCAUGGCUGUUGGUGCUAUACAGUAUAGCUUCAAUUGUUGUAAAUUCAACGGUUGUAAAGAUGUGAAAUUUGGCAAGGAAUGCAG
Molecule: unclassified non-coding RNA, 909 nt
Filed under: Hevea brasiliensis (rubber tree)
Lineage: Eukaryota; Viridiplantae; Streptophyta; Magnoliopsida; Malpighiales; Euphorbiaceae
Source: RNAcentral